This 481-nucleotide ribosomal RNA is filed under the name uncultured bacterium. RNAcentral's name for it is "bacterial SSU rRNA". It matches the Rfam family "Bacterial small subunit ribosomal RNA", at positions 29 to 506 of the family's 1533-position model. The record is from RNAcentral.
UUGAACGCUGGCGGAAUGCUUUACACAUGCAAGUCGAGCGGCAGCGCGGGGCAACCUGGCGGCGAGCGGCGAACGGGUGAGUAAUGCAUCGGAACAUGUCCAUGUCGUGGGGGAUAGCCCGGCGAAAGCCGGAUUAAUACCGCAUACGCCCUUAGGGGGAAAGCCGGGGACCGCAAGGCCUGGCGCGAUUGGGUUGGCCGAUGUCCGAUUAGCUAGUUGGCGGGGUAAGAGCCCACCAAGGCGAUGAUCGGUAGCUGGUCUGAGAGGAUGAUCAGCCACACUGGGACUGAGACACGGCCCAGACUCCUACGGGAGGCAGCAGUGGGGAAUUUUGGACAAUGGGGGCAACCCUGAUCCAGCCAUUCCGCGUGAGUGAAGAAGGCCUUCGGGUUGUAAAGCUCUUUUGUCCGGAACGAAACGGUUGGCGUGAAUAUCGCCGACUACUGACGGUACCGGAAGAAUAAGCACCGGCUAACUACGU